UACGUAGGGGGCAAGCGUUGUCCGGAAUCAUUGGGCGUAAAGCGCGUGUAGGCGGCUCGACAAGUCUGGUGUGAAAACUUUCGGCUCAACCGGAAGCUGUCACUGGAUACUGUCGAGCUCGAGUCCGGAAGAGGAGUGUGGAAUUCCUGGUGUAGCGGUGGAAUGCGCAGAUAUCAGGAGGAACACCAAUGGCGAAGGCAGCACUCUGGUACGUGACUGACGCUGAGACGCGAAAGCGUGGGGAGCAAACAGG
Molecule: ribosomal RNA, 253 nt
Filed under: uncultured bacterium
Lineage: Bacteria
Description: partial 16S ribosomal RNA
Rfam family: Bacterial small subunit ribosomal RNA
Source: RNAcentral